AUCCGGUACUCGUUAAGGCUGAGCUGUGAUGGGGAGAAGACAUUGUGUCUUCGAGUCGUUGAUUUCACACUGCCGAGAAAAGCCUCUAGAUAGAAAAUAGGUGCCCGUACCGCAAACCGACACAGGUAGUCAAGAUGAGAAUUCUAAGGUGAGCGAGCGAACUCUCGUUAAGGAACUCGGCAAAAUGACCCCGUAACUUCGGGAGAAGGGGUGCUCUUUAGGGUUAACGCCCAGAAGAGCCGCAGUGAAUAGGCCCAAGCGACUGUUUAUCAAAAACACAGGUCUCUGCUAAACCGUAAGGUGAUGUAUAGGGGCUGACGCCUGCCCGGUGCUGGAAGGUUAAGAGGAGUGGUUAGCUUCUGCGAAGCUACGAAUCGAAGCCCCAGUAAACGGCGGCCGUAACUAUAACGGUCCUAAGGUAGCGAAAUUCCUUGUCGGGUAAGUUCCGACCCGCACGAAAGGCGUAACGAUUUGGGCACUGUCUCAACGAGAGACUCGGUGAAAUCAUAGUACCUGUGAAGAUGCAGGUUACCCGCGACAGGACGGAAAGACCCCGUGGAGCUUUACUGUAGCCUGAUAUUGAAAUUCGGCACAGCUUGUACAGGAUAGGUA
RNAcentral lists this ribosomal RNA (612 nucleotides) under Staphylococcus aureus. RNAcentral describes it as "partial 23S ribosomal RNA". It matches the Rfam family "Bacterial large subunit ribosomal RNA", at positions 1540 to 2149 of the family's 2925-position model. The record is from RNAcentral. Lineage: Bacteria; Bacillati; Bacillota; Bacilli; Caryophanales; Staphylococcaceae.